Long non-coding RNA from Herpailurus yagouaroundi (jaguarundi), 618 nucleotides. RefSeq lists it as uncharacterized. The transcript has 2 exons. Lineage: Eukaryota; Metazoa; Chordata; Mammalia; Carnivora; Felidae. The record is from RefSeq and is a predicted model, not a curated record.
AUAUGCGUCCUGCUGUGAUACACUAAAAAAGACCCAUAGGUCUUGUCUGUGGAAUUCUGGCCCAGAACGGACAACCUGUAUCUAAUCAUGAGGACACACAUGAGAAAAGCAAAUUGAGAGAUACUGUACAAAAUAAUUGGAGUGUACUUGUGAAGGACUGAAUAUUUGUGUCCCUCCAAAUUCAUAUGUUGAGGCUCUAACCCCCAAUGUGGCAUUUAGAGACAGGCCUCUAAGGAAGUGACUGAAGUUAAAUGAGGUCAUAAAGGUGGGGCCCUGAUCCAACAGAAUUACUGUCCUUAUAAGAAGCGUCGCCUCUCUCUCCCCCUUCUUUACCACUGCCCCCAACACAAAGAGGCCAUGUGAGCACACAGCAAGAAGGCAGCCAUCUACAGCCCAAGGGGAGAGCUCUCACCAGACACAGACCCUGCUGGAACCUUGCUCUUAAACUUCCUUCAGUCACCCAGUCUGUGGUGUUGUAUUGUGGCAGCCAGAGCAGACUAACACAAGGUGGAGUUUCUCUCGAGGAGGCUGGAAGAGUGCUGUCUGAGGCAGCUUGUUUUGGAUCUUCUUUCUAGGUGUAAUGCUGACAGCAGCAACAAUUUCAUCCAGGUGAUUGGA